Nannospalax galili (Upper Galilee mountains blind mole rat) is the source of this 104-nucleotide small nuclear RNA. Lineage: Eukaryota; Metazoa; Chordata; Mammalia; Rodentia; Spalacidae. The record is from Ensembl.
GUGCUCACUUUGGCAGCACAUAUACUAAAAUUAAAAUGAUACAGAGAUUAGCAUGGUCCCUUUGCAAGGACAACAUGAAAAUUAGUGAAGCAUACCAUAUUUUU